GACGAACGCUGGCGGCGUGCCUAAUACAUGCAAGUCGAACGAGAGCGACCGGUGCUUGCACUGGUCAAUCUAGUGGCGAACGGGUGAGUAACACGUGGGUAACCUGCCCAUCAGAGGGGGAUAACAUCCGGAAACGGAUGCUAAAACCGCAUAGGUCUUCGAGCCGCAUGGCUUGAAAAGGAAAAGAGGCGCAAGCUUCUGCUGAUGGAUGGACCCGCGGUGCAUUAGCUAGUUGGUGAGGUAACGGCUCACCAAGGCCGUGAUGCAUAGCCGACCUGAGAGGGUGAUCGGCCACAUUGGGACUGAGACACGGCCCAAACUCCUACGGGAGGCAGCAGUAGGGAAUCUUCCGCAAUGGACGCAAGUCUGACGGAGCAACGCCGCGUGAGUGAAGAAGGUUUUCUGAUCGUAAAACUCUGUUGUUAGAGAAGAACAAGUGCUAGAGUAACUGUUAGCGCCUUGACGGUAUCUAACCAGAAAGCCACGGCUAACUACGUG
This 498-nucleotide ribosomal RNA is filed under the name uncultured bacterium. RNAcentral describes it as "partial 16S ribosomal RNA". It matches the Rfam family "Bacterial small subunit ribosomal RNA", at positions 28 to 507 of the family's 1533-position model. The record is from RNAcentral.